UAAACGCUGGCGGCGUGCAUAACACAUCAAGUCGAACGGAGUUGCCAAGUAGCAAUAUGAAGCAACUUAGUGGCGGACGGGUGAGUAACGCAUGAGCAACCUGCCCUUGUGAGCGGAAUAACGUCGGGAAACCGACGCUAAUACGGCAUAACGCACAGAUACCGCAUGGUGACUGUGUCAAAGAUUUUUAUCGCACAAGGAUGGGCUCGUGUCCGAUUAGUCAGUUGGUGAGGUAACGGCUCACCAAAACCGCGAUCGGUAGCCGGACUGAGAGGUUGAACGGCCACAUUGGAACUGAGAAACGGUCCAGACUCCUACGGGAGGCAGCAGUGGGGAAUAUUGGGCAAUGGGCGAAAGCCUGACCCAAGCGACGCCGCGUGAGGGAAGAAGGUCUUCGGAUUGUAAACCUCUGUUGACAGGGACGAAAGCGGGGCAACCCGCGUGACGGUACUUGUCGAGGAAGCCACGACUAACUACGUGCCAGCAGCGGC
RNAcentral lists this ribosomal RNA (491 nucleotides) under uncultured bacterium. RNAcentral's name for it is "bacterial SSU rRNA". It matches the Rfam family "Bacterial small subunit ribosomal RNA", at positions 30 to 518 of the family's 1533-position model. The record is from RNAcentral.